This 99-nucleotide microRNA precursor is filed under the name Theobroma cacao (cacao). RNAcentral describes it as "mir-395 microRNA precursor family". It matches the Rfam family "mir-395 microRNA precursor family". From Rfam's summary of the family: mir-395 was identified in both Arabidopsis thaliana and Oryza sativa computationally and was later experimentally verified. mir-395 is thought to target mRNAs coding for ATP sulphurylases. The mature sequence is excised from the 3' arm of the hairpin. The record is from Rfam by way of RNAcentral. Lineage: Eukaryota; Viridiplantae; Streptophyta; Magnoliopsida; Malvales; Malvaceae.
GUGCCCACUAGAGUUCCCCUGGGCACUUCAGUUGAUUUCUUUAGAGCUCAAAACCUCUUAGCUGUCUACUGAAGUGUUUGGGGGAACUCCGGUUGCCAU